RNAcentral lists this long non-coding RNA (1106 nucleotides) under Junco hyemalis (dark-eyed junco). RNAcentral describes it as "lncRNA (ENSJHYG00000015926.1)". Lineage: Eukaryota; Metazoa; Chordata; Aves; Passeriformes; Passerellidae. The record is from RNAcentral.
GGAAUGCAGGAAUGGAAUUCUGGAGUCUGCCUGGAUCUGGGGUGGAUCCUUGGAGCCAAGGGCUGGAAUUCUGGAAUGUUUGGGAAUGCAGGGCUGGAAUCCUGGAAUGUGUUUGGGAAUACAGGGCUGGAAUCCUGGAGCCAAGGGUAGGAUCUCUGAGCAAUCCAAAUCCCUGGAAUGUGUUUGGGAGCAAAGGACAGAUCCCUGGGACACGUUGGGAGCCAAAGUUUGGAUCUUUGGAGCGUGUUGGGAGCAAAGGGCCGCACCUCUGGAACGUGUCCAGAUCCCUGGAGAGUUUGGGAAUGAAGGGCCGGAUCUCUGGAGCGUGUCCGGAGCCAAGGGUCGGAUCCCUGGAACUCCUCCAGAUCCCUGGAACUCCUCCAGAUCCCUGGAGCGGGUCCAGCUCCCGGAGUGUGGCCGUGGCUUUGCUCCGCAGCCAAAUCCCUGGAAUGGCUUUUCCUGUCUCCCGCUGUCGCUCCGGCAGCUGCCAGAGGCCACGGCCCCGCUCCCGGCCCUGCUUCCCUCGCUCCAUCCCGUUAUCCCAUGGAUCCCAUCCCAAUCCCACGGAUCUCUUCCCAGUCCCAUGGAUCUCUUCUCAUCCCAUGGAUCUCUUCCCAUCCCACGGAUCUCUUCCCAAUCCCAAUCCCAUGGAUCUCUUCUCAUCCCAUGGAUCCCAUCCCAUCCCAUCUUACGGAUCUCUUCCCCAUCCCAAUUCCAUGCAUCUCAUCCCAUCCCAUGGAUCUCUUCCCAUCCCAUGGAUCCCAUCCUAUGGAUUCCAUCCUGUGGAUCCCAUGUCAUCCCAUGAAUCCCAUCCCAUGGAUCCCAUCUCAUCCCAUGGAUCCCAUCCCAUGGAUCUCUUCCCAUCCCAUCCCAUGGAUCCCAUCCCAUCCCAUGGAUCUCAUCCCAUCUCAUCCUAUGGAUCCCAACCCAUCCUAUGUAUCCCAUCUCAUCCCAUGGAUCCCAUCCCUUGGAUCCCAUCCCAUCUAUGGAUCCCAUCCCAUGGAUCCCAUCCCUUCCCAUCCCAUCUCAUCUCAUGGAUCCCAUGCCAUGCCAUGCCAUCCCAUCUAUGGAUCCGAUCCAUCCCAUGGAUCCCAUCCCAUCCCAUC